CGGGCGUUAAGUUGCAGGGUAUAGACCCGAAACCCGGUGAUCUAGCCAUGGGCAGGUUGAAGGUUGGGUAACACUAACUGGAGGACCGAACCGACUAAUGUUGAAAAAUUAGCGGAUGACCUGUGGCUGGGGGUGAAAGGCCAAUCAAACCGGGAGAUAGCUGGUUCUCCCCGAAAGCUAUUUAGGUAGCGCCUCGUGAAUUCAUCUCCGGGGGUAGAGCACUGUUUCGGCUAGGGGGCCAUCCCGGCUUACCAACCCGAUGCAAACUGCGAAUACCGGAGAAUGUUAUCACGGGAGACACACGGCGGGUGCUAACGUCCGUCGUGAAGAGGGAAACAACCCAGACCGCCAGCUAAGGUCCCAAAGUCAUGGUUAAGUGGGAAACGAUGUGGGAAGGCCCAGACAGCCAGGAUGUUGGCUUAGAAGCAGCCAUCAUUUAAAGAAAGCGUAAUAGCUCACUGGUCGAGUCGGCCUGCGCGGAAGAUGUAACGGGGCUAAACCAUGCACCGAAGCUGCGGCAGCGACACUGUGUGUUGUUGGGUAGGGGAGCGUUCUGUAAGCCUGUGAAGGUGUGUCGUGAGGCAUGCUGGAGGUAUCAGAAGUGCGAAUGCUGACAUAAGUAACGAUAAAGCGGGUGAAAAGCCCGCUCGCCGGAAGACCAAGGGUUCCUGUCCAACGUUAAUCGGGGCAGGGUGAGUCGACCCCUAAGGCGAGGCCGAAAGGCGUAGUCGAUGGGAAACGGGUUAAUAUUCCCGUACUUGGUGUUACUGCGAAGGGGGGACGGAGAAGGCUAUGUUGGCCGGGCGACGGUUGUCCCGGUUUAAGCGUGUAGGCUGGUUUUCCAGGCAAAUCCGGAAAAUCAAGGCUGAGGCGUGAUGACGAGGCACUACGGUGCUGAAGCAACAAAUGCCCUGCUUCCAGGAAAAGCCUCUAAGCAUCAGGUAACAUCAAAUCGUACCCCAAACCGACACAGGUGGUCAGGUAGAGAAUACCAAGGCGCUUGAGAGAACUCGGGUGAAGGAACUAGGCAAAAUGGUGCCGUAACUUCGGGAGAAGGCACGCUGACACGUAGGUGAAGUGAUUUACUCAUGGAGCUGAAGUCAGUCGAAGAUACCAGCUGGCUGCAACUGUUUAUUAAAAACACAGCACUGUGCAAACACGAAAGUGGACGUAUACGGUGUGACGCCUGCCCGGUGCCGGAAGGUUAAUUGAUGGGGUCAGCGCAAGCGAAGCUCCUGAUCGAAGCCCCGGUAAACGGCGGCCGUAACUAUAACGGUCCUAAGGUAGCGAAAUUCCUUGUCGGGUAAGUUCCGACCUGCACGAAUGGCGUAAUGAUGGCCAGGCUGUCUCCACCCGAGACUCAGUGAAAUUGAACUCGCUGUGAAGAUGCAGUGUACCCGCGGCAAGACGGAAAGACCCCGUGAACCUUUACUAUAGCUUGACACUGAACAUUGAGCCUUGAUGUGUAGGAUAGGUGGGAGGCUUUGAAGUGUGGACGCCAGUCUGCAUGGAGCCGACCUUGAAAUACCACCCUUUAAUGUUUGAUGUUCUAACGUGGACCCGUUACCCGGGUUGCGGACAGUGUCUGGUGGGUAGUUUGACUGGGGCGGUCUCCUCCUAAAGAGUAACGGAGGAGCACGAAGGUUGGCUAAUCCUGGUCGGACAUCAGGAGGUUAGUGCAAUGGCAUAAGCCAGCUUGACUGCGAGCGUGACGGCGCGAGCAGGUGCGAAAGCAGGUCAUAGUGAUCCGGUGGUUCUGAAUGGAAGGGCCAUCGCUCAACGGAUAAAAGGUACUCCGGGGAUAACAGGCUGAUACCGCCCAAGAGUUCAUAUCGACGGCGGUGUUUGGCACCUCGAUGUCGGCUCAUCACAUCCUGGGGCUGAAGUAGGUCCCAAGGGUAUGGCUGUUCGCCAUUUAAAGUGGUACGCGAGCUGGGUUUAGAACGUCGUGAGACAGUUCGGUCCCUAUCUGCCGUGGGCGCUGGAGAACUGAGGGGGGCUGCUCCUAGUACGAGAGGACCGGAGUGGACGCAUCACUGGUGUUCGGGUUGUCAUGCCAAUGGCACUGCCCGGUAGCUAAAUGCGGAAGAGAUAAGUGCUGAAAGCAUCUAAGCACGAAACUUGCCCCGAGAUGAGUUCUCCCUGAGACUUAGAGUCUC
Molecule: ribosomal RNA, 2159 nt
Filed under: Salmonella enterica subsp. enterica serovar Enteritidis
Lineage: Bacteria; Pseudomonadati; Pseudomonadota; Gammaproteobacteria; Enterobacterales; Enterobacteriaceae
Description: partial 23S ribosomal RNA
Rfam family: Bacterial large subunit ribosomal RNA
Source: RNAcentral